UCCAAAGUUUACCCUAAGCUAUGUCAUUUGAUUCAAUUUACCUUUAACAUAAUUUAUCUUUUUUUCUCCAUGUACAAAUUUUGCAAGAUGACAGCAGAUAUCUUAAUGCACGUUCAUAAUUUUUAUCAUUAUUUUGAUAGGUAGGAUAUUUAAUAAUAAAAUUUAUCCAUGAGAUACAAAAUUAUUUUUAAAAAAUAAUGAUGAAAAAUUUAUAAAAUAUUUUUUAAUAUAGAUUAUGAUUUCCAUUACCACCUUGCAAAGUCUGAAAUCAAAAAUUAACUUGUGUAUAGAGAAAAAAAUUACAUUAUGGGGUAAUUUGAACUAAAUAGUAUAGUUUAGAGGGUAAAUUGAACUAAACAGGGAGUAAUUUGGAGUUUUUUCAAAAAGAAACCAGGGAAUGAAUGCUUUUCUUGGGCUCUAAGAGCUAGUCGUAUGUUUUAUUUCGGUCCGUGAAAGUUUGGGCUGAGACAUUGCUUUACUGUGGGCCAAGAGUAACGGACCAAAUGGGCCUUCGCUGGGCGCUUGUCUGUCUUGUUGGGAAAAAGGCUUUUUGUUUCCUUUAGUUUGUGUUAGCUAAAAGCUUCGUGUUCUACUGCGCGCACAUGCAGUAUCUCCACAGGAGCACUGCAGCAGUAUCUCCAGGAUCUUGGGCAACCCGAUUGACCAGCCUUAAUAACAACACUUGGUCAAAGCUGCUACACGUCACUGCUGAGGAAAGUGCAGUAUCGGUUGGGAACCUCCUUGAUACCGGUUGCGCAACCGAUAUUGCUAGUUCGGUGCUAAAAGUGAGACCUUUAGUACCGGUUAAAAUAACCGGUACUCUACUCCCGCCCACCCGCCCUCCUGCCGCCGCUCUUUCUCGCCCGCCCUCCCGCCACCCGCCGUCGCCUCACCUCGCCCCACUGCUGCUCCUCCCUGGCAGGUGACGGGCGAGCGGAAGGGGGAGGGGAGAGGAGGCAAAGAAGGUGCCGGCGGCAAGAGAGGAACUAGUGCUGAGAGAGAAGAGGAAGAUAGUCCUGCCGAGCGGAAGGGGGAGGGGAGAGGAGGCAAAGAAGGUGCCGGCGGCAAGAGAGGAACUGGUGCUGAGAGAGAAGAGGAAGAUAGGGGGAGCUAGAGGAAGAUAGGAAGGUAGCGGGGGCCCAGCGUGGGCCCGGCCAACCGGCCACGCACCAACUGUUUCCUUGGUAUCUUGGCAAAGGAGAUGAAGAUCCUCUCUCACGCGCACCCUCCAAGGACGGAGAUUCCUGAGCAGCUGAAUCUUUGACUGACCAGCAGUGAAGAGCGCCCCUGAAAUUUGACCGGGAUUCUCUCGUGGCCCAGAUCGAUCGAUUGACGAGGACGCAACCAAGAACCAACGGCUGCAAGCGUCCUCGAGCCAACAGCUGAUGACCUCGCGCGCAGCGCACGCAUGGCAUGGUGGUCCUCGCCUCCCCUCGCCGCUUGCUUUGCUUCACAUGGAUGCGUGAUGGAUCCCCGCUAGCUGAGACUUGAGACGCUGGCAUGGCGAUCGAUCGUAAGCCAUGCUCACGUACGUACAACGUACUCGACGCCACCAGUGGCCGUUAGCUGGCCCUGUCGUGUGGUCACAGCCGUUCGUGCGCGCGCAUCGUCAUCAGCUAGGGCAUGUACGUCGUACGUACGCGCAGCCAGGCACUCCAGCAGUGCAAUCGAUGGAUGCAUGCACGUGCACGAGCAGCGGCGGUUUACAUCAGCAGGUAUCGGUUGUUGCUUUGCUUGGCAGAGAAGUGAUCCACCGAUCGUCGUCUCAGUCUCUCAGAUCGCUCUGGCCGGCCCGUGGCAUGGAUUCGAUGUAGCUUUGUACAAAUAUCUCCGGCCCAGUUCUUACAGGAACGAGACCACCAAAUCCACGGAUCUCGAUCGUCAGCUACGUCGCUGUCUCCUCCACGACGUUGAGACAUCACCGUACACAGCGCAGACAGGGCACGCACGUACAGCACACCCUGGCCGACUAGGCAGCCGCAUGUUCAGCCUAUUGCGCGAACGAAAAGGAAAGGUGUAAUCGAUCGGGUCGAUUAGAAAAAGGAUGCAUUGAUCGAUCUGCGGACCGUGCUCCAUGCCCACGGUACAGACUAGAGAGAUCUCGGCGGGCACCGGGCAGAAGGGGAGCCACGACGCGGGCAUCAGAUCCAUGUGGAGUCCUUGUAGGAGAGAGAGGUCGGUCGGUCGUCAGUCGAUGAUGCAGCUGGGAAAUGUUCAGCAGCUCAAAGCUUUCAGUCCCACGCACAUCGUCCUUAAAGAGUUAAAGGUGCGCCAGAGAGAAAGAUGCAAUCAGCUAGCUAGGUUGGUGCAGUACCACAGCAGCAGUGUGCAAGCACUGCCCUGCCUGCAGCAGUGUGAGCAUGAGCAUACGAUCCU
RNAcentral lists this long non-coding RNA (2376 nucleotides) under Setaria italica (foxtail millet). Its description in RNAcentral is "long non-coding RNA (SITA_LNC002058)". Lineage: Eukaryota; Viridiplantae; Streptophyta; Magnoliopsida; Poales; Poaceae. The record is from RNAcentral.